RNAcentral lists this long non-coding RNA (278 nucleotides) under Gossypium raimondii (Peruvian cotton). RNAcentral's name for it is "long non-coding RNA (GRAI_LNC008737)". Lineage: Eukaryota; Viridiplantae; Streptophyta; Magnoliopsida; Malvales; Malvaceae. The record is from RNAcentral.
CCUUAAAUUCCAUUCGAGUUUCAAUCUAGUGCUUUUUGUGUUUAUUCAUUUAUUUUAUUAUAAUUUAGGCUCUAAAUUUCAUUUUAAUUCCAAUUUAAUCCUUUAUUUGCUUAAUCUCAAACUUUUAUUCUUUUAUAUGCACACUGCUCUUGCUUUAUUUUAUUUAUUUAUUUAUUUUUACAUUCAUUGAUUCAUUUAUUUAUUUUUAUCCUUGUAUUCACUUAUUAUUCUUCCAUUUUUUUAUUUUUCUUUCAUUAGUUAUUCAUUUUAUUUAUGCC